UAUUAUUUGCUUUAUCCACAUGAUUGCUUCCCCCGAAACUUUCCUGGAAAAACUUGUUCUAUCUAUAUUGCCUCCCACUAUGUUUCAUCAUUGACAUAAGCUGGUACCCUGGAGGGUGUGGAACUGAGGCAGGAGUCAACCAGAGAUCUGCAUCUGUGGACACGGUUGCUGGUGGCUGCUUAUUUCGGAAGGAAAACCGAGAAGAGAAAAGCUAGCUUCCGAGGAGUCUGGGGGCGUAUAAAAUGUUUGAUGAAUGCGCCGGGACCCUCCCCGUGCGAGGAGCUUUGGCUGUGGCGCACCGGCCUCCCACCAAAGAGCACCGGGACGUGUCUGCUGCGAUUCAACCCAUGUAUCAAUGUGAUGAAAAGGGCCCCUUCGGUCAAGAAGUGGUUUUCCGUCACGCUCAAGCAUUUACCAACCUGGUUGCGGUGUGACCUCUGCAGGACGCAGCUUAAGGGGGACUCUGAACAUCUCUUUUAAAUUGCCAAAGUCCCUGAACCCCUACUGACCCGAUGGCAAGUGAAGUUGCUGAACUGCGUGUGAGAUCCACACACAGCCUGGAGUCAUGCCGAUAAACAGAGGUGCCUGGGGAAGGCACGCAGCCUGCCCAGCCGUCCCGGCAGGCAGGAGAGACAAGCAGUGACCAAAGGGGUGUGA
RNAcentral lists this long non-coding RNA (657 nucleotides) under Dromaius novaehollandiae (emu). RNAcentral describes it as "lncRNA (ENSDNVG00000013199.1)". Lineage: Eukaryota; Metazoa; Chordata; Aves; Casuariiformes; Dromaiidae. The record is from RNAcentral.